GGGACACGUGGUAUCCUGUCUGAAUAUGGGGGGACCAUCCUCCAAGGCUAAAUACUCCUGACUGACCGAUAGUGAACCAGUACCGUGAGGGAAAGGCGAAAAGAACCCCGGCGAGGGGAGUGAAAAAGAACCUGAAACCGUGUACGUACAAGCAGUGGGAGCACGCUUAGGCGUGUGACUGCGUACCUUUUGUAUAAUGGGUCAGCGACUUAUAUUCUGUAGCAAGGUUAACCGAAUAGGGGAGCCGAAGGGAAACCGAGUCUUAACUGGGCGUUAAGUUGCAGGGUAUAGACCCGAAACCCGGUGAUCUAGCCAUGGGCAGGUUGAAGGUUGGGUAACACUAACUGGAGGACCGAACCGACUAAUGUUGAAAAAUUAGCGGAUGACUUGUGGCUGGGGGUGAAAGGCCAAUCAAACCGGGAGAUAGCUGGUUCUCCCCGAAAGCUAUUUAGGUAGCGCCUCGUGAAUUCAUCUCCGGGGGUAGAGCACUGUUUCGGCAAGGGGGUCAUCCCGACUUACCAACCCGAUGCAAACUGCGAAUACCGGAGAAUGUUAUCACGGGAGACACACGGCGGGUGCUAACGUCCGUCGUGAAGAGGGAAACAACCCAGACCGCCAGCUAAGGUCCCAAAGUCAUGGUUAAGUGGGAAACGAUGUGGGAAGGCCCAGACAGCCAGGAUGUUGGCUUAGAAGCAGCCAUCAUUUAAAGAAAGCGUAAUAGCUCACUGGUCGAGUCGGCCUGCGCGGAAGAUGUAACGGGGCUAAACCAUGCACCGAAGCUGCGGCAGCGACGCUUAUGCGUUGUUGGGUAGGGGAGCGUUCUGUAAGCCUGCGAAGGUGUGCUGUGAGG
RNAcentral lists this ribosomal RNA (850 nucleotides) under Escherichia coli. RNAcentral describes it as "partial 23S ribosomal RNA". It matches the Rfam family "Bacterial large subunit ribosomal RNA", at positions 419 to 1268 of the family's 2925-position model. The record is from RNAcentral. Lineage: Bacteria; Pseudomonadati; Pseudomonadota; Gammaproteobacteria; Enterobacterales; Enterobacteriaceae.